AUGUACAGGAUCGGAAGAUUUAUUUCUUUACCUUCUCCACAUCCCCCAGGCCCUCAGUAUCAAGCAGAACCAGAGUAUGGUUUGGCUUCUUGGGAUGAGGCACACACCACAUCCAGAUGCCCUUCGUGUGAGACUGCACCGUGGAGCUCAGAGAGAAGCCUGCAAGGGGGCAUGGGGAAAAGAGAGGAUGGAUUUUUAAUAGCAGGUGGAUUGGAUCUGGAAAUUGAGACAUUAAAAAUAAAGUCAAGGUUUAAAGAAAUAAAUGAAAGCAUAAUCAAUAUUGAUCUUAAUUAUGAGAAAAAGAGAAUUUAGAACAUUCAGUACAAACUGAAAUUUUUGUAUUACCUGAGAGAUCACUAUAAGUUUGAUGUUAACCCACAUACAUUUUAGUAAAUGUUUUAUUGUUUAUUAUUAUCUACGUUAGUUUUAUUUAUAACUACUGUGCUCCUUUCAGAAAGACACGUUUAUACUUUAAAGAGGAAGGUAAGGCAAAGUGGGAAGAAAGAGUCGACUCUUAUCCUCCAGCACAGAAUGAAUGUUAGAAGCCCAUCCCUAAAAUGAAAAUUAGCUUUCAAUAUCCCUCCCUGGUCUCUCACUUCCUCUCCUCACAUCACCAUGCUGCACGCUGGGAGUGUGGGUGGACAGAAGGGACUUGGCUGGGCUCUGCCCAUGUCACUCACCCUUUUUCUUCCCGGCCAGCUUGUUCAUCAGGUAGGACUUGCCUGUGCGGUAGGGGCCCACGAUAGCCACCACCACAACAGGCUGCCUGAUGGCAGACAGGAUCUUCAGAGCUUCUGGAUUAACCCGCAGUUGCCCAUUGGUGUUCUCAAUGAGGCACUUUGGGGCUGGCAUGUGGAUCUCUGAGGCCAUGUCCAGGGUGUUCCCUGAUCUUCAAGGGAAAAGAUGGCAUGGAAACCAACAUUUAGUCAGUGAGCUGAGUGAGAACUUUACAGUUAGGACCAAAAUUUGGUUUUCUCCUUGAACUUUUUUCCUUAUGUGUUUUAAAAAGCCCAAUGGUCCCUUUAAGCUUGUCCUGUAGACUAGUCUACGGGUUCCCUUUAAAAAUAACUUUAUUCUGAAGGAGCUUACCCUUAUACAAAAUCAUACAUUGGACACAGAGCACUUCCAUGUGCCAUUUCCCCAGCUACCCUAUUAUUAAUAUCUUAUGUAACCACAGACAGUGAUUGAAACAGGACUUUUAUAUUGAAACAAUACUAUUAACUAAGCUACACACUUUCCCCCAUGUCACCAGCUUUCCUUUUGCCUGGUUGUUUUUGUCCUAGCUUUCCUUUAGCUCCUAGCGUCCGUUUCUGAUCCAGGAUGCAAUUCAGGAUCCUUUGUCGCCUUCACUCACUACCCUUGCUUAGUCUUCUCUCAUCAUUGGCAGUUCUUCAUUUUCAUUUUGUCUUUCAUGACAUUGUCAUUUUAGAAGAGGACUGCCCUGUCAUUUUGCAAAAUAUCCCUCUGUUUGAGUUCUUAUGGUUCCUCAUAAUUAGAUUGAGGUUGUUUUUCCUUUUUAUGACAAGAAUGCCGUGGUUGUGAUGUUCUGCCAGUCUCGGUGUAUCCUGUCAAAGGUUUCAUAAUGUCUGUAGAACACACUCUGGUGCUGGGAUGGUAACUCUGCUCACUUGGUUUAGGUGUUGUCUGCCAGAUUUCUCCACUGUAAAGUUAGUUACCUCCUUGUAAUUAAAAAAGUUAACAUGGGGGGAGAUAUUUUUGAGACUGCAGAUAUAUUCUCUUCAAAGUUUCAUAUCGUUUUUUCAGUGCUGAUUUUAACAUCCACUAAUAAUGAUUCUUGCUUAUAAUAGUUAUUAUUGUGGUGCUUGACUGUAGGUCAUUUGUACUUCACCAUUCCUUCAACAUUAUCUGAGUUUGUAUACUUCAAACAAGCUAUCCCUUCUUCUCUAUUUUAUUUCCUCAUUUAAUUAUUUAGUUGUAUCAGUAUAGACUCAUAGAUAUUCAUUUUGUUUUAUUCUGUGGGGUUUAGUACUUUGCUAUUAUUCCCUUGUGGCUCAGAAGUAAAGAAUCUGCCUGCCAAGAAGGAAAAGCAGGUUCAAAAGCUCGGUCGGAAAGAUCUGGAAGGAAAUGGUAACGUACACUGGUAUUCUUGCCUGGAAAAUCCCAUGGACAGAGGAACCUGGUGGGCUAUAGUCCAUGGGGUCACAAAAGGUCAGACACAACUGAGUGACAAACUAAUUACUAUUUACUUAUUGCUUACUUUGCCCCAAUUUGUUCUUUGAGAGCUUCUUCAACCUGGCUCCUGGGUCGUUUGGCCAUGCUUCUGUCAUAUUCUAAGCACUUUUUUACUUUGUGGCACCACAAGGUAUUCCUGGUCCUUCUUGUACUUUGCCUGAGUCAGCUCGAGAUUUGGCCAUUUCUCCCAGAAACCCUGAUUCCUUCUUUGGAUAACAGAAUUUUGAUGCCAGGAUAUAACACUAGAUGUGACCUUAUUUCUAGGUCCCCUCAGUGGGCCAAAUUCAGAAAUACAUGUAUGAAUACUAGCACAUGUAGAUACAUCUAUAUUUAUUUCUGCCUUCGGUAUACUGCCUUAAUUUCCUGCUGAUGUUUUGAAUUGGAGGAUAAUUGUUUUACAAUGUUGUUGUGUUCGUUUCUGCUAUAUAACAGCAUGAAUCAUUCAUAAGCACAUAUAUAUCCCCUCCCUCUUGACCCUUGCUCUCACCCCACCAUCCCACCCCUCUAGGUUGUCACAGAGUGCCAGGCUGGACUCCCUAUGUUAUAUACUGCUCAUGUUUCCUAUUGCAGUUCAACACAACAGAAAUUACUCAAGCUUUACCUUUCAACUCCAUACUCUAUGAAAGCCACAGCUCUUAUUAUCAUAAAUUUGCUUAUGUGCUCAGUUCUAGUAUAUGUAUAAAGUAGUUUCAAAGUUGUUAAUCCAUAUCUUGGUGAUAAAUAGAUUUACUAAUUAAAGUGCAUUAUUAAAACACAGUUGUUUUGUCUUUAACCUAAUAUAUAUAUUCAAAACACUGUAUUCUGAAAUUUUUAGAUUAGUUCUUUCCUUCCUCAUCCUCUUGAGUUGUUAGUUUAUUCAUUUGUAACACAGUCAGUUUCAUUUGUUACUAUUUGAGCUUCACUGAGGACUCCCCCACAUCUUGGUUGGGCUUCUGUGGUCGCUCAGAAUCCACCUGCCAUGCGAGAGACCUGGGUUCAGUCCCUGGGUUGGGAAGAUCCCCCAGAGAAAGAAAUGGCUACCCACUCCAGUAUUCUUGCUUGGAGAAUUCCAUGGACAGAGGAGUCUGGCAAGCUGCAGUCCAUAAGGUUGCAAAGAGUCGGACAUGACUGAGUGACUAACAUUUUCACUUAUUUCACAUCUUGGUUAAUUUUCAUAUGUGAUUAUUUUUUGAGUAUGUGAAACAUUAUGCAGUUGUGAGAGUCAGAGCUUUCCAAAAAGGUAUACUCAGAGAAAUGUCACUUUUUCUUCAUCUGACCACUCCAUUCCUGUUCCACCCUUCUAUUCUUGAAGCUCAGUAGUGUCCGACACUGUGCAGCCCCAUGUAGCCCACCAGGCUCCUCUGCCCAUGGGAUUUCUAUUCUUACUACCUCAUAAUCACACAUUCUCUGAGAAUAAACCAAUCUCAUUAGUUUCUGGUUGAUACUUCCUAGAUAUUCUUUCCAUAAAUCAGAUAUAUUUUCUUAUUCACAUUUUUAAUAAGAAAGAUCACAUUUUACAAAUAUAUGGAAAUCACUCUAUAUCACUUCAUAGAAAGCUUGCUCAUUCUUUUGGAUGGGUGUCUACUCUAUUAAGUGUAUAUACCAUAGUUUACUUAACCACUCCUGUGUGUGGGCACUUAGAUUGCUUCUAGUGUUUUUCAAUUACAGUGCUGCAGUGAAUAACCCUGCUUUCAUAUUGUUGCAGCUGUCUCUUCAGAAUAGAUGCUGGGGAAUGAGGUUGCUCUGUCAAAAGGCAAGAGUGUAUACUUUUGUUGCUUAUUGCCAAAUUCCUUUCCAGAAGGGUAUACCAGACUGCAUUUCCACUGGCUCAGCUUGUAUCCCAUUUCCAUAACAUGGAGAUUUUUUUCCUUGUGUUUCAUUUUCCUUGAAGUCACAUCUUGUGACUUCAUUACAAAAUUCCUUUCAAAGCUUUUCACCUUCAAAUUUUGAUCUUUGGACAGGACACCCUGAGCUGUCUCACCUCAGGCAUAUGUAACAGGCAGCCUGCAUCUGGGGAAUAUUGUGCCAAACAUUUAUAGAAUGUGAAACACAUGCCAUCCUAACCCAGUCUUGGACCUGGUUUCUCCCAAGUCUGUUCCUGGGCAAGCUCUGGAUCAGACUGAGACUCAGGGUGCCCAGUGGCUUCCUCCUCUCAGGGACAGGCACUCCUGAGAGGCCACAGUCCACCCUGUCUAGUGACUCACUGCUUCUUAACCAUUGAUCUGCAUCUGAAUUCAUGUGUUUUCGCCCAAGACUGAUACCUCUAAUCUGAAUUUCACUCUUCAUGACAAAUUGAGAUUACAAUGGAGUAAUCAUAGUUCAGACAUACAAAACUAGAGUUGAGUGCCAUUAAGAAUUUAGUCUAAGGCAUAUCCUAGCUCCAUGAAAAGCUUGAAUUUUCUCUGACCUGUAUCACACCUAAGGACACCAUCAGCUGUAUUUGGGACAACAUCUGCUACCUGCAACUUUAUGGUUCAGGGUUCCCUCGUGCCCCCACCCUGUGGAACUUUAAAACCAUUUCAGUGAUUUAAACCAACUUAAACUCAAUUCAGCAACCAAUUCAGGUCCUUACUUUUUGCCUUAAUUAUAAUCCGUAACACACAAUUUUAAGUAACUGGUCUUAGUUUUGACCUUUAUAAACUUUUUCUAUUUUGUAGUCAAGAGGAACACAAGUUUUUAAGUGCUUCUUGAACUUGUCUCCCAGGCUGCAGUCCUAAUAAACCUUGAAUAAAACACUUUUUCCCUGGUGGCUCAGAGGUUAAAUCGUUUGCCUGCAAUGCAGGUGACCUGUGUUCGAACCCUGGGUCAGAAAGAUCCCCUGGAGAAGGAAAUGGCAACCCACUCCAGUAUUCUUGCCUGGAGAAUCCUAUGGACGGAGGAGCCUGGUGGGCUAUAGUCCACGGGGUCACAAAGAGUCGGACACAACUGAGCUACUUGACUUUCAUUUUAAUCAGGUCAUAGUUUCUGAAAUUUUUGUUAACACUCUAUAUUUCACUCAAUCAUGUUACCAAAUUUUGGCCUCCUUGUGUUUGAAGAUUGAUUCUUUAUUAUCUCCGUAUAUAUCAACUGGCAUAUUGCUUUCAAUUACCUCAGGUAAUGAAGCUACUCUUAUGAAACAUGAU
Molecule: long non-coding RNA, 5294 nt
Filed under: Ovis aries (sheep)
Lineage: Eukaryota; Metazoa; Chordata; Mammalia; Artiodactyla; Bovidae
Description: lncRNA (ENSOARG00000025533.1)
Source: RNAcentral